This 501-nucleotide ribosomal RNA is filed under the name uncultured bacterium. RNAcentral's name for it is "bacterial SSU rRNA". It matches the Rfam family "Bacterial small subunit ribosomal RNA", at positions 24 to 518 of the family's 1533-position model. The record is from RNAcentral.
UCAGGAUGAACGCUAGCGACAGGCCUAACACAUGCAAGUCGAGGGGCGAGCACAAGGAGCAAUCUGAGGUGGCGACCGGCGCACGGGUGAGUAACACGUAUGCAACCUGCCUGUAAGCGGGGAAUAACCCGUUGAAAGACGGACUAAUACCGCAUAAUACUAAAUUACUGCAUGGUAAUUUAUUUAAACAUUUAUGGCUUACAGAUGGGCAUGCGCAUGAUUAGCUAGUUGGAGAGGUAACGGCUCCCCAAGGCAACGAUCAUUAGGGGUUCUGAGAGGAAGGUCCCCCCACACUGGUACUGAGACACGGACCAGACUCCUACGGGAGGCAGCAGUGAGGAAUAUUGGUCAAUGGACGAGAGUCUGAACCAGCCAAGUCGCGUGCAGGAAGAAUGUCCUAUGGAUUGUAAACUGCUUUUGCAGGGGAAUAAAGUGCAUCACGUGUGAUGUUUUGUAUGUACUCUGCGAAUAAGGAUCGGCUAACUCCGUGCCAGCCGCCGC